AACGAACGCUAGCGGCACGCUUAACACAUGCAAGUCGAACGGAAUUAUGGUUUUCGGAUUAUAAUUUAGUGGCGCACGGGUGAGUAAUACAUAGGAAUCUAGCCAUAAGUACGGAAUAACUUUGGGAAACGAAAGCUAAUACCGUAUGGUCCCUUCGGGGUAAAGAUUUAUCGCUUAUGGAUGAGCCUAUGGUGGAUUAGGUAGUUGGUGAGGUAACGGCUCACCAAGCCGACGAUCUAUAGCUGGUUUGAGAGAAUGAUCAGCCACACUGGAACUGAGACACGGUCCAGACUCCUACGGGAGGCAGCAGUGGGGAAUAUUGGACAAUGGGGGCAACCCUGAUCCAGCGAUGCCGCGUGAGGGAAGAAGGCCCUAGGGUUGUAAACCUCUUUUAUCAGGGAAGAUAAUGACUGUACCUGAAGAAUAAGCUCCGGCUAACUCCGUGCCAGCAGCCGCGGUAAU
RNAcentral lists this ribosomal RNA (462 nucleotides) under uncultured bacterium. RNAcentral's name for it is "bacterial SSU rRNA". It matches the Rfam family "Bacterial small subunit ribosomal RNA", at positions 29 to 524 of the family's 1533-position model. The record is from RNAcentral.